RNAcentral lists this ribosomal RNA (253 nucleotides) under uncultured bacterium. RNAcentral's name for it is "partial 16S ribosomal RNA". It matches the Rfam family "Bacterial small subunit ribosomal RNA", at positions 524 to 776 of the family's 1533-position model. The record is from RNAcentral.
UACGGGGGGGGCAAGCGUUGUUCGGAAUUACUGGGCGUAAAGGGCGCGUAGGCGGCCUGCUAAGUCGGGCGUGAAAUCCCUCGGCUCAACCGAGGAACUGCGUCCGAUACUGGUGGGCUUGAAUCCGGGAGAGGGAUGUGGAAUUCCAGGUGUAGCGGUGAAAUGCGUAGAUAUCUGGAGGAACACCGGUGGCGAAGGCGGCAUCCUGGACCGGUAUUGACGCUGAGGCGCGAAAGCUAGGGGAGCAAACGGG